RNAcentral lists this transfer RNA (76 nucleotides) under Pseudomonadota bacterium. RNAcentral's name for it is "tRNA-Arg". It matches the Rfam family "tRNA". From Rfam's summary of the family: Transfer RNA (tRNA) molecules are approximately 80 nucleotides in length. Their secondary structure includes four short double-helical elements and three loops (D, anti-codon, and T loops). RNAcentral also lists the same sequence under 2 other names. Lineage: Bacteria; Pseudomonadati; Pseudomonadota. The record is from RNAcentral.
GCGCCCGUAGCUCAAUUGGAAGAGCAGCGGCCUUCGGAGCCGCGGGUUGGGGGUUCGAGUCCCUCCGGGCGUACCA